Molecule: ribosomal RNA, 529 nt
Filed under: unidentified oral bacterium AP60-17
Lineage: Bacteria
Description: bacterial SSU rRNA
Rfam family: Bacterial small subunit ribosomal RNA
Source: RNAcentral
AGAGUUUGAUCCUGGCUCAGGACGAACGCUGGCGGCGUGCCUAAUACAUGCAAGUAGAACGCUGAAGGAGGAGCUUGCUUCUCCGGAUGAGUUGCGAACGGGUGAGUAACGCGUAGGUAACCUGCCUGGUAGCGGGGGAUAACUAUUGGAAACGAUAGCUAAUACCGCAUAAUAGUAGAUGUUGCAUGACAUUUGCUUAAAAGGUGCAAUUGCAUCACUACCAGAUGGACCUGCGUUGUAUUAGCUAGUUGGUGGGGUAACGGCUCACCAAGGCAACGAUACAUAGCCGACCUGAGAGGGUGAUCGGCCACACUGGGACUGAGACACGGCCCAGACUCCUACGGGAGGCAGCAGUAGGGAAUCUUCGGCAAUGGACGGAAGUCUGACCGAGCAACGCCGCGUGAGUGAAGAAGGUUUUCGGAUCGUAAAGCUCUGUUGUAAGAGAAGAACGAGUGUGAGAGUGGAAAGUUCACACUGUGACGGUAUCUUACCAGAAAGGGACGGCUAACUACGUGCCAGCAGCCGCGGU